This 497-nucleotide ribosomal RNA is filed under the name uncultured bacterium. RNAcentral's name for it is "partial 16S ribosomal RNA". It matches the Rfam family "Bacterial small subunit ribosomal RNA", at positions 28 to 507 of the family's 1533-position model. The record is from RNAcentral.
GAUGAACGCUGGCGGCGUGCCUAAUACAUGCAAGUCGAGCGAACAGAUGAGGAGCUUGCUCCUCUGACGUUAGCGGCAGACGGGUGAGUAACACGUGGAUAACCUACCUAUAAGACUGGGAUAACUUCGGGAAACCGGAGCUAAUACCGGAUAAUAUAUUGAACCGCAUGGUUCAAUAGUGAAAGACGGUUUUGCUGUCACUUAUAGAUGGAUCCGCGCCGCAUUAGCUAGUUGGUAAGGUAACGGCUUACCAAGGCGACGAUGCGUAGCCGACCUGAGAGGGUGAUCGGCCACACUGGAACUGAGACACGGUCCAGACUCCUACGGGAGGCAGCAGUAGGGAAUCUUCCGCAAUGGGCGAAAGCCUGACGGAGCAACGCCGCGUGAGUGAUGAAGGUCUUCGGAUCGUAAAACUCUGUUAUUAGGGAAGAACAAAUGUGUAAGUAACUAUGCACGUCUUGACGGUACCUAAUCAGAAAGCCACGGCUAACUACGUG